UGUCAGUCAUGGCAUCUUUAACAAGGUUCCCAAUAGUUCUGAUGGUUAUAUGCUUAACAGGUGUCGAUACACAGACUCUGACUGAGUCUGAACCAGCAGUUAAAAAACCAGGAGAAUCACACAAACUGACAUGUACAGCCUCUGGGUUCACAUUCAGUAGCUAUCGUAUGCACUGGGUCAGACAGGCUCCUGGGAAGGGACUGGAGUGGAUCGCUUUUAUUGAGUCCGAUGGUAGUAGCACUUACUACUCCCAGUCCUUUCAGGGCAGAUUCACCAUCUCCAGAGACAACAGCAAGAACCAGGUGUAUUUACAGAUGAACAGCCUGAAAGCUGAAGACACGGCUGUGUACUACUGUGCCAGAGAGUCACUCAACCCCGUCCCAGGAGCUGUUGACUACUGGGAUAAAGGCACUGAAGUCACUGUCACCAGCGUUCCACCAACAUCCCCAACUGUGAGUCUCGUGACUCUGCCCAUCGGGGAGAGCCGUGUAGAUGCUCUAAUGUGUGUCAUUCAGGACUUCCACCCCAAGAGCGUCAGUGUGACAUGGAAAGCUGGGGACAGAACUGUCUCAGGACAGACCUGGGAGUCGGAGAAAGGACAGACAGGACUGUACUCAGCCAGCAGUUUGCUGAAACUGGACAGCAGCGUCUGGGAGAGUGACACUGUGUACACAUGUGAGGUGCAGCACGGUGCUAAUAAAACCACUAAGACCAUUAGUAAAGGUGAGUGAGCUCACAGC
Paramormyrops kingsleyae is the source of this 740-nucleotide non-coding RNA. Lineage: Eukaryota; Metazoa; Chordata; Actinopteri; Osteoglossiformes; Mormyridae. The record is from the annotation of a RefSeq genome assembly.